RNAcentral lists this ribosomal RNA (1191 nucleotides) under Bacillus sp. (in: firmicutes). RNAcentral describes it as "bacterial SSU rRNA". The record is from RNAcentral. Lineage: Bacteria; Bacillati; Bacillota; Bacilli; Caryophanales; Bacillaceae.
CUGAAUCRGAAACUUGUCCAAGUUCUUACCGAGCAUGCAUAGGAAUUCUCCGCAUGACUGAACGUUCUGACGAAGCAAGCUCGCCCUUGAGUGAUGGAGGCCUUCCGGUCGUUAAACGUUCUGUUGUUAGGGAAGAACAAAUGCCUAGCUUGAAUUAAUGCUGGUCACCGUAGACGGGAGCCUAAUUCAGAUAAGGCUAUUGCUAAGUAUCGUCGACCAGCAGCUGCGGUAAUACGUAGGGUGGCAAGACGUUAUCCGGAAUUAUUGGGCGUAAAGCGGGCGCCAGGUGGAUUUCUUAAGUCUUAUUGGGAAAGCCCCCGGCUCCACCCGGGGAGGGGUCAUUGGAAACUGGGAGACUUGAGUGCAGAAGGAGGAAAAGUGGAAUUCCAUGGGUAGCGGUGAAAAUGCGUAGAGAUAUGSAGGAACACCAGUGGCGAAGGCGACUUUCUGGUCUGUAACUGACACUGAGGCGCGAAAGCGUGGGGAGCAAACAGGAUUAGAUAUCCUGGUAGUCCACGCCGUAAUCGAUGAGUGCUAAGUGUUAGAGGGUUUCCGCCCUUUAGUGCUGAAGUUCACGCAUUAAGCACUCUGCCUGGGGAGUACGGCCGCAAGGCUGAAACUCAAAGGAAUUGACGGGSGCCCGCACAAGCGGUGGAGCAUGUGGUUUAAUUCGAAGCAACGCGAAGAACCUUACCAGGUCUUGACAUCCUCUGAAAACCCUAGAGAUAGGGCUUCUCCUUCGGGAGCAGAGUGACAGGUGGUGCAUGGUUGUCGUCAGCUCGUGUCGUGAGAUGUUGGGUUAAGUCCCGCAACGAGCGCAACCCUUGAUCUUAGUUGCCAUCAUUAAGUUGGGCACUCUAAGGUGACUGCCGGUGACAAACCGGAGGAAGGUGGGGAUGACGUCAAAUCAUCAUGCCCCUUAUGACCUGGGCUACACACGUGCUACAAUGGACGGUACAAAGAGCUGCAAGACCGCGAGGUGGAGCUAAUCUCAUAAAACCGUUCUCAGUUCGGAUUGUAGGCUGCAACUCGCCUACAUGAAGCUGGAAUCGCUAGUAAUCGCGGAUCAGCAUGCCGCGGUGAAUACGUUCCCGGGCCUUGUACACACCGCCCGUCACACCACGAGAGUUUGUAACACCCGAAGUCGGUGGGGUAACCUUUAUGGAGCCAGCCGCCUAAGUGACAAUUCCG